Molecule: ribosomal RNA, 253 nt
Filed under: uncultured bacterium
Lineage: Bacteria
Description: partial 16S ribosomal RNA
Rfam family: Bacterial small subunit ribosomal RNA
Source: RNAcentral
UACGGGGGGGGCAAGCGUUGUUCGGAAUUACUGGGCGUAAAGGGCUCGUAGGUGGCCAACUAAGUCAGACGUGAAAUCCCUCAGCUUAACUGGGGAACUGCGUCUGAUACUGGAUGGCUUGAGUUUGGGAGAGGGAUGCGGAAUUCCAGGUGUAGCGGUGAAAUGCGUAGAUAUCUGGAGGAACACCGGUGGCGAAGGCGGCAUCCUGGACCAACACUGACACUGAGGAGCGAAAGCCGGGGGAGCAAACGGG